AAUAACUGCGUUACUUUUCGAUUAAAUUUUUAUUAGUGAUAUAAUUCAAGAUCAAAUAUCAACUAAGCUAUAAGAAAAAUGCAAGAGCAAAAUCGCUUUUCCGUUGUCAUAUUUUUAGUGGUGAUACUCUCUAUUCUUCAUUCAAGCAAGGCACUGAAGUGUUAUGGUACGGCUGACGAUGGAUCAGGUGUGGAGAUGGAGUGUCCGCCGGAUUACCCUUUAUGUAUCACAUUUUCAGCCGAUUUUGUUGGCAAGGAUAUACGUGGAUGCGGCAUUGAAAACUUCUGUGACAUUAAUAAGGACGUGGUCACAGAAUGUUAUGAAUGCAAGACAGAUCUGUGCAAUACACUCUAAACUCUCUUAGAGUAAAAAAUCACUCGAAGGAUUGAACUAGCUCAAUUGUCACUCUUUAGGAAUAAAUUUUCACUCUACACGAGUAAAUUUUUACUUUUAUUAGAGUGAAAAGUUACUCGAAAAUUGCACUGGCUCAAUUCUCACUGUCUUAAAGUGACUUUUCUCUCUAAGAAGUUGGGAGUGUAAAUAAUACAUCCUAUAAGAAUACGAUAUCAACUAUCACAAUAGUAACCUCAGGAUUUAUUAUUCUGUUUUGAUCAGUUCAAUAAUUCUUAUAAUUUUCUUAUAGUUAUUUAAUCUUGUAAUUUGUAAUAUCACGGUCUUGUUAAGAGAAGCUUAUCUCUAGAACACACCAUAUCGGUGGAACAAAAUUUUGCUUCUGUAACGUUUAAUCUGUCAAUGAGCAAUUUUGGUCAAUCAUAGCGGUUAUUGGUUUUUACUUCAAACUUUUUUCUCCACUUCUAUCCUGAAUCUUUUUUCGCAUUCCGCCUUCACACAAUAAGCAAUUGAAAUUUUAUAGGAAGUCUUAUAAUGUGUUCUAAAGUUAAUAUUAUUAUUAAUUAAAACGUCUAUUUCUAUUUUUAUAAUUAACAAUUUUUUAAUUGUACAAUAUUGUAAUCUGUAUUAAUUAUUGUAUUGUAUGUUACGCAAAAAGACAUAUUAAAGAAUUUUAUUAAUCUUGUUGCAUGCAAUGUGGUUUUUGCUUUUGUAUAUACAAUAAAUAAACAUUGAACCCAUAUUUAGAUUGAUAUUCAUGAAAUAUAUUUAUUUCAUCAAAAACAUGUAAUAAAUAUAUAAAUAAAUUUUAACUAAUAUUAGCACACACACACACACAUACACACACACACACACACACACACACACACACACACACACAGCUUUAUCGCAAAUAUAAACGUUAUGUAAAAAUCUCCGUGGAAAAUAUUCCGAUUUCUCAUGUCGAUAAAAUACAUUCAUUUUGUUUAUCAACUUAGAAGUAUUUAGAGGUAGCUUCUGUAUUAAAAUGUAUGCAAAGUAAAUUAAAUUUAACAUGAUCUUUUCAUCAAAUUUGCUUGAUAUUUUUUAAUGUUUUUUUUAUUAAAAAAUUAAAACUUCUAAUGUUUAUAUUGCGAUAAUUUUCUUAAACUUAUAUAAUUAUAAACUCAUAUAAUUAUAAGAAAAAUUUAUUUGAAAUAAUUAUUUAAAUAAAUAUAAAUUUUAUUAGUUAUGUUAUGCAUAUACAGAAUUGAUAAUAUCAUGUUAGUAUAUUAUUUUAUGUACUAACAUUUUCUAUAAAAUGUUAAGUAUAUGAUAAGGUAAUCAAUUUUUGUAUUUUCAUGUAUUAUAAUUGUUAUAUUUUAUUUAUUAGUUUGUUAAAAAUCUAUCUUUGUUAAGAAAAUAAUUUUACUAUUUGAAGUAAUUUUUACAUCUUGAUCUUGUUAUAAAGGCAUCCACAACAAAAAUAUGCUUGUAUUUCACAAUCUAAUCUUUAAUCUAAUUAUCGGUAACUUAUCAAUGAUUAGAAUUUUGAAAGUUUGUCACAGGUAUAUAUAGACCCCGCAAUAAUAACUGCGUUAUUUUUCGAUUGAUUUUUUAUUAGUGAAUAUAGAAUUCAAGAUCAGAUAUCAACCAAGCUACAAGAAAAAUGCAAGGACAAAAUCGCUUUUCCGGUAUCAUAUUUUUGGUGAUCAUACUUGCUAUUCUUCAUUCAAGCAAGGCACUGAUUUGUUAUGGUACGCAAAUGGAUGGAUCAACCGCGGAGAUCGAGUGUCCGUCGCAUUUCCCUUUAUGUGUCAAAUUUUCAAGCAGUCAGUAUCUAA
Molecule: long non-coding RNA, 2153 nt
Organism: Solenopsis invicta (red fire ant)
Lineage: Eukaryota; Metazoa; Arthropoda; Insecta; Hymenoptera; Formicidae
Exons: 4
Source: RefSeq, a predicted model, not a curated record